This 762-nucleotide long non-coding RNA is filed under the name Salmo salar (Atlantic salmon). Its description in RNAcentral is "lncRNA (ENSSSAG00000099069.1)". The record is from RNAcentral. Lineage: Eukaryota; Metazoa; Chordata; Actinopteri; Salmoniformes; Salmonidae.
GGUCAGUAGUCUUGGUAGAUGUGGAGGGUUAGCAUCUUUAGCUAGUGUUCCCUAUUUUGAGUUCUACACUAACAAUCCUUUAUCUGAUUUUGUUUUGCGCCACCGUUUUGGUUUGCUUUCUGUCUAAGUUUGGUGUGGGUUUUUCUUUGCCUCUUCUUGGGUAAAUUUAGUGGGAGCUCAUGGUAGGGGUCUUUUAGUGGGAGCUCAUGGUAGGUGUCUUUUAGUGGGAGCUCAUGGUAGGUGUCUUUUAGUGGGAGCUCAUGGUAGGUGUCUUUUAGUGGGAGCUCAUGGUAGGUGUCUUUUAGUGGGAGCUCAUGAUAGGUGUCUUUUAGUGGGAGCCUUUUGGGUUUCAGUUGUUGCUAGUCAACAUUCAGUGGCCACUCCCAUAAGUGUCUUCAUAACCCCUGUUAAAACCCUACCUGUAGGCAUUGUUGAUCAGUGUUAGUUCCCCCUUCUGUUUGUGUGAUAUUUUUGGUUUUCUUGCUGGCAAUCAUAUUACACAUGAAGUGAUCCACAGCUUCAACCCUACACACCAAGGAGAUAGAUGUAGGAUCCAAAUUCACCAAGUGUCUGCCAUGAUGUUCAUAAACUCCACUACAGUAGUGAGUCAUUUAGCAGACUCUCUUAUCCAGAGAUACUUACAGUAGUGAGUCAUUUAACAGACUCUCUUAUUCAGAGAUACUUACAGUAGUGAGUCAUUUAGCAGACUCUCAUAUCCAGAGAUACUUACAGUAGUGAGUCAUUUAGCAGACUCUCUUAUCC